This 94-nucleotide transfer RNA is filed under the name bacterium. RNAcentral describes it as "tRNA-Ser". It matches the Rfam family "tRNA". Rfam says of the family: Transfer RNA (tRNA) molecules are approximately 80 nucleotides in length. Their secondary structure includes four short double-helical elements and three loops (D, anti-codon, and T loops). The record is from RNAcentral. RNAcentral also lists the same sequence under 5 other names.
GCGGAAGUACCCAAGAGGCCGAAGGGGCUCCCCUGCUAAGGGAGUAGGACGUGUAAAAAGCGUCGCGGAGGUUCAAAUCCUCUCUUCCGCGCCA